CUGAACAACACAGAAAGUGUGCAUAACCCUGCCAGAUAGAAGAUACAUGAAGGUGGAACUACUCAACAGCCUGGAGAUUAAGCACAUUUGCAGGAAAUGUGGUCUGAAUGAUAUCAAGGGAUAUCAGGAAACUUGAAGCUGCUCUGGAGUCUUCAGAAGUGACCAUCUCCUGCCCUUCAUGUCCAGCAAUGGGGUUUGGGGAUGUGGUGGCACUAACAAGCCCCCCUUUCAAUGCUGCAUUAAUGUAUGCUGUGUAACUGAAGUCAUUUUUGACGUGGUGCGUCAGGGAGUCCAGAAGGCAGUAACCCGACGAUAUGAUCAGACAACAGAUUUAAAAUUGACAGAAGGUUGCACUUCUUUUUCCAUUGUUUGUUUGUGGUUCUUGUUUGUUUUUCAUAAAGCAUAAUCACAUUGCAGAAGUCAUUGCCUUGAGAUAUUGUGGAAGCUUAAAGAAUAAAUCAUUGAGGAG
RNAcentral lists this long non-coding RNA (469 nucleotides) under Numida meleagris (helmeted guineafowl). Its description in RNAcentral is "lncRNA (ENSNMEG00000008390.1)". Lineage: Eukaryota; Metazoa; Chordata; Aves; Galliformes; Numididae. The record is from RNAcentral.